UUUCUUUCCUAUACUCCCCGAACUCACCCAAUCUUGUCUGUCUCGGAAGCUAAGCAGGGUCAGGCCUGGCUAAUAUUUGGAUGGGAGACAAAC
Cricetulus griseus (Chinese hamster) is the source of this 93-nucleotide ribosomal RNA. NCBI's taxonomy places the organism in Eukaryota, Metazoa, Chordata, Mammalia, Rodentia, Cricetidae. The record is from Ensembl.